AAGGACUUAGUUUAGGUAAAACAUUAAUUUGUCAAAUUAAAAAAAUUAAUAUUAAUAUUCCUUA
Molecule: transfer RNA, 64 nt
Filed under: Bannacoris arboreus
Lineage: Eukaryota; Metazoa; Arthropoda; Insecta; Hemiptera; Urostylididae
Description: tRNA-Asp
Rfam family: tRNA
About the family: Transfer RNA (tRNA) molecules are approximately 80 nucleotides in length. Their secondary structure includes four short double-helical elements and three loops (D, anti-codon, and T loops).
Source: RNAcentral